This 499-nucleotide ribosomal RNA is filed under the name uncultured bacterium. RNAcentral describes it as "bacterial SSU rRNA". It matches the Rfam family "Bacterial small subunit ribosomal RNA", at positions 15 to 507 of the family's 1533-position model. The record is from RNAcentral.
GAUCCUGGCUCAGGAUGAACGCUAGCUACAGGCUUAACACAUGCAAGUCGAGGGGCAGCACAAGGCAGCAAUGCUGAGGUGGCGACCGGCGCACGGGUGCGUAACGCGUAUCCAACCUUCCCGUUACUCCGGGAUAGCCUUCCGAAAGGGAGAUUAAUACCGGAUGGUGUUCAAUUGGUGCAUAUUAUUUGAACUAAAGAUUUAUCGGUAGCGGAUGGGGAUGCGUACCAUUAGAUAGUAGGCGGGGUAACGGCCCACCUAGUCCACGAUGGUUAGGGGUUCUGAGAGGAAGGUCCCCCACACUGGAACUGAGACACGGUCCAGACUCCUACGGGAGGCAGCAGUGAGGAAUAUUGGUCAAUGGCCGUAAGGCUGAACCAGCCAAGUAGCGUGAAGGAUGAAGGUUCUAUGGAUUGUAAACUUCUUUUAUACGGGAAUAACACCAUCUACGUGUAGAUGUCUGCAUGUACCGUAUGAAUAAGCAUCGGCUAACUCCGUG